This is a non-coding RNA of Podarcis lilfordi (Lilford's wall lizard), 78 nucleotides long. NCBI's taxonomy places the organism in Eukaryota, Metazoa, Chordata, Lepidosauria, Squamata, Lacertidae. The record is from the annotation of a GenBank genome assembly.
GCUAUAGCUCAGUGAUAGAACAUCUGCUCUGCAUGCGGAAGGGCCCAGGUUCAGUUCCUGGGAUCCCUAGUUACAGCU